RNAcentral lists this non-coding RNA (27 nucleotides) under Homo sapiens (human). Lineage: Eukaryota; Metazoa; Chordata; Mammalia; Primates; Hominidae. The record is from RNAcentral.
UGCAGAAGGCAAGGACCAAUGUUUGAU